UGAUUGGGACCAGGAAGCCAUCUAAUGUUCCUGGACAUUGGAAAAGUGUACAAGAACUUGGAUGGCAAAGUGUUUGCGUGGGCUGGAGAAGGCCACAGCGACUGGCCUUUUUCUCCACUCAGGUCCAGUAAGGGAGGAAAACAGCUUCUGUAAAUCAUACAAAAUAAAGCAUCCUAAAGGGGGAAAAAAACUUCUGAGAUUUCUCAAGGGAGAAAGACAGAAGGAACAGCAUUAGCGUUGGCUGCCCCACUGGAAAAUGUCUGAACCAUGUGGAAACAAAAACACAGCAACAUGCCAUAGCAGAUGAAAAAUAGUUCCUGGAAUAUAACUUCCUUCCUUCCCUCCUUCCUUCUUUCAUUCCUUCCCUCCCUUCUUCUCUUCUUUCUCUUUUUCCUCUUUUCACUUUUCCUUCCAUAUCUUGGAUCAAUCAAGGUAUGAAUCACUUGGUAUCAGCAAUGGCAUUCUAUUGCUACACAUCCAGAGGUUGGCACAGCUCCUAGAAACCUCACCACCCCCGGGACCACCUCAACUGGCUCAUUGGAAGCACCAGAGUCUCCCUGCCCAACUGGAAGGAGAUCCCUGGUUGCAUCAUAUCUGCCUCCACCAAUCAGAGGCCUGGAAAAUACAGCCUGGUUUCUUGAUGGUGGCCAAUCAGGGGAAAGGAAGGGAGGUUCAAAACGUUAUAAUGUUAAUGCACGAAACCUCAUGUGUAUAAAAAUGCCUACUUUAUUAUUAUGCUUUGCAUUUGUACCCUGGUGAGAUUCUUCAUUUUCAUUCUGGAACAUCCACAGUUAGCAAAGCUUGCCAGGCAUCCCUCGGUAUCUGUGGGCCUUUGAAAAACUUCACAUUUCCGGCAUCAAUAUUAUUACUUAUCAGGACAGUCCAGGAACACAAUAGAAGAAUUAAUGCUUUCUGUGUUGGUACGGCUGUACCAGAAGCUCCAACUUUAUUUUCUUUCUGCUAAUGUCUGCAGUCAUGGGGCAGACCGCCUGUCCAUCAUCAUUAAGUUUGGUUCCGCCCCUUGUUCAGGGCUCUGGGAGGGAAGGAGACAUUUUUAAGUCAGUCUCACUUAAGGAAGCUAAGCUAUAGGACGUAGACCAGCUCGUCCCGUAGAAAAGCUUCCUAUCUCAAGAACAUCCGGGGAUAUAGAACAUCCGGGGAAUCAGAAACAGAAAUUCCAGGGGAAAGGUCCCAAAGGUUCUGGCUAAGAGCUCACAGCCCCUCAGCCUCACAGCUCCUGAGGGAAACAGCCCUAAAGUUUCCAAAGAAACCUCGGAGAGGGAACAGCACCACAGAUCCACCCAACCCCAGCUGAAACAUCUGCAAGCCUUGGUUGGUAGGUCCACUCGAUACCCAGACGCAUUUGGAAUCGGUAGUGGGUCCCACAUCAGCUAGGCCCAUAUAAUAGACAGCCUGGGAGAGGUCAUAAGGGGGUUUUCUUCUUAUAGAGAAAGCACAGUUAUCCAAAGCCAAUUGUCUGUUCCCUGGGAACAAGACUGAAAGGGCCAACAGUUUAUUAAGGAAACCUUGAAGUGUUAUUUGAUUCCUUGAAGAUUUAUUAUUUGUUCAAUAAUAAAGACUUUGUUAUCUCAUUAAAGACUCAAAGGACUAUCCUUUUCAGGAAAAUCCUCUCUUUGAGGCGCCGUGGCUUCCCGCUGGGCAUAAAGUAUACGUCCUAUACAAAGACAAUAGGUACAGGCCCAGCGCGUGACAGAACACUUUCUAUUUCCACAAAUUUAUGUUCAAGACAGAACAUUUAGGUCUUUAUUUGUGUAACAUUGUGUCUC
This 1787-nucleotide long non-coding RNA is filed under the name Anolis carolinensis (green anole). RNAcentral describes it as "lncRNA (ENSACAG00000038798.1)". The record is from RNAcentral. Lineage: Eukaryota; Metazoa; Chordata; Lepidosauria; Squamata; Anolidae.